GCUCCUUGCCUGUUUGGUGCUGAACAUGAAGUUAGAUUAGAGUCAGGUUGUUGGAGCUUUUCCACUGAGAACAGCUGUUUGUAGUGUCUUGAACCAAAACAGUAAAGCUGUGGUCAAUGACACCUCAAAGGCACUAAAACGGGCUGCGAAGCAGAGGAGAACUGCAGCUGACAAGUAAUAACCACCCAGCGAAGUGGACGAAAGCAGAGCUCGACCUUGGAGUGACAGGAUGCAGACAAGGAGCUGCAGGAGCACCGGAAGUGGAAUCGUCAAAAACAGGAUUCACUGGACACCAGCACUUGUCAUGCACUGAGCCAAUUCUGCGGGAGGCGAAGGGACUAAAAGCUCUUAAUUGGUGUUUGGCCAUAUCAGCAACCCGGCAGCAAACUGUUUGACCUGCUCUGAGCCCAGCUGGAACAAACCUACCAAUUAGCUUCUUGUUAUCUUGAUAAAGGAUGCCUUUUUUGUAGAUUGGUGUGUGUGUGUGUGUGUGUGUGUGUGUCUAUGAAUGCGAAACAUAGAGAGAAACAUUGGGGAACUAUGUGUGUGUUUGUACACCUGAGAAUAAACCUUUUUGUGCUGA
Long non-coding RNA from Monopterus albus (swamp eel), 583 nucleotides. RefSeq lists it as uncharacterized. The record is from RefSeq and is a predicted model, not a curated record. The transcript is spliced from 4 exons. NCBI's taxonomy places the organism in Eukaryota, Metazoa, Chordata, Actinopteri, Synbranchiformes, Synbranchidae.